RNAcentral lists this ribosomal RNA (497 nucleotides) under uncultured bacterium. RNAcentral describes it as "partial 16S ribosomal RNA". It matches the Rfam family "Bacterial small subunit ribosomal RNA", at positions 28 to 507 of the family's 1533-position model. The record is from RNAcentral.
GAUGAACGCUGGCGGCGUGCCUAAUACAUGCAAGUCGAGCGAACAGAUGAGGAGCUUGCUCCUCUGACGUUAGCGGCGGACGGGUGAGUAACACGUGGAUCACCUACCUAUAAGACUGGGAUAACUUCGGGAAACCGGAGCUAAUACCGGAUAGUAUAUUGCACCGUAUGGUUCAAUAGUGAAAGACGGUUUUGCUGUCACUUAUAGAUGGAUCCGCGCCGCAUUAGCUAGUUGGUAAGGUAACGGCUUACCAAGGCGACGAUGCGUAGCCGACCUGAGAGGGUGAUCGGCCACACUGGAACUGGGACACGGUCCAGACGCCUGAGAGAGGCAGCAGUAGGGAAUCGGCCGCAAUGGGCGAGAGCAUGACGGAGCAACGCCGCGUGAGAGAUGAAGGUCUUGGGAUCGUAAAACUCUGUUAUUAGGGAAGAACAAAUGUGGAAGUAACUAUGCACGGCGUGACGGUACCUAAUCAGAAAGCCACGGCUAACUACGUG